Molecule: ribosomal RNA, 957 nt
Filed under: uncultured archaeon
Lineage: Archaea
Description: bacterial SSU rRNA
Rfam family: Archaeal small subunit ribosomal RNA
Source: RNAcentral
UUUUCCGGUUGAUCCCGCCGGACCCUACUGCUAUCGGGGGAGGACUAAGACAUGCAAGUCGCGCGUCUCUAAGCUAUGGUGGAGACGCGGCAUACGGCUCAGUAACACGUGGCUAACCUACCCUUGAGACGGAGAAAACCCCGGGAAACUGGGGCUAAUCCCCGAUAAGAGAAGACCCCUGGAAUGGGUCUCCUCUCAAAGGGCGUCUAGACCAUGCUUUUAGACGUUGCUCAAGGAUGGGGCCGCGGCCGAUCAGGUUGUUGGUGAGGCAACGGCUCACCAAGCCUUUAACCGGUACGGGCCGUGAGAGCGGGAGCCCGGAGAUGGGCACUGAGACAAGGGCCCAGGCCCUACGGGGCGCAGCAGUUGCGAAAACUCUGCAAUGCACGAAAGUGUGACAGGGCUACCCCGAGUGCCGUCCGCUGAGGGCGGCUUUUCCCUGGUGUAAGGAGCCGGGGGAAUAAGGAGAGGGCAAGUCUGGUGUCAGCCGCCGCGGUAAUACCAGCUCUCCGAGUGGUAGGGAUAAUUAUUGGGCUUAAAGCGUCCGUAGCCGGCCUGGCAAGUCUUCCGUUAAAUCCAACGAUUCAAUCGUUGGACUGCGGGAUAUACUGUCGGGCUAGGGGACGGGAGAGGCCGACGGUAUUCUCGGGGUAGGGGUAAAAUCCUAUAAUCCCGGGAAGACCACCAGUGGCGAAGGCGGUCGGCUAGAACGCGCUCGACGGUGAGGGACGAAAGCUGGGGGAGCGAACCGGAUUAGAUACCCGGGUAGUCCCAGCUGUAAACGAUGCGGGCUAGGUGUUGGGGCGGCUACGAGCCGCUUCAGUGCCGCAGGGAAACCAUUAAGCCCGCCGCCUGGGGAGUACGGCCGCAAGGCUGAAACUUAAAGGAAUUGGCGGGGGAGCACCACAAGGCGUGAAGCUUGCGGUUCAAUUGGAUUCAACGCCGGGAAUCACUAGU